This 292-nucleotide long non-coding RNA is filed under the name Calidris pugnax (ruff). RNAcentral's name for it is "lncRNA (ENSCPUG00000010824.1)". The record is from RNAcentral. Lineage: Eukaryota; Metazoa; Chordata; Aves; Charadriiformes; Scolopacidae.
CCUAACAAACAUUUUUUCUGUUUACUUUCUGUGUUACAGCCUGAACCAAAGCCAUGAUGAGUUUUGGAUCCAACCCUGAAUUCUUCCCCUGAGGCCCAUCUUUGCUUUGUACGAAUGACAGAAAAAUUGUAUAUUUCUAGUUUUUAUUACCAGAGAAAGCAUACCUCUUACUGGCAUACACAGAACUGCAUGUAAAUGACCACUGAGUAGGUGUCACUUAAAUCUUAGCAGAUAUACAACAGAUUUCUGCCAGCUUAGCUGCAUUGAUGAGGAAUCACACCUCUUCUCAUCC